CCUACGGGAGGCAGCAGUGGGGAAUUUUGGACAAUGGGCGAAAGCCUGAUCCAGCCAUUCCGCGUGCAGGAUGAAGGCCCUCGGGUUGUAAACUGCUUUUGUACAGAACGAAAGGGUUUCUAUUAAUACUAGGAGCUCAUGACGGUACUGUAAGAAUAAGCACCGGCUAACUACGUGCCAGCAGCCGCGGUAAUACGUAGGGUGCAAGCGUUAAUCGGAAUUACUGGGCGUAAAGCGUGCGCAGGCGGUUAUAUAAGUCAGAUGUGAAAUCCCGGGCUCAACCUGGGAACUGCAUUUGAGACUGUAUAGCUAGAGUACGGUAGAGGGGGAUGGAAUUCCGCGUGUAGCAGUGAAAUGCGUAGAUAUGCGGAGGAACACCGAUGGCGAAGGCAAUCCCCUGGACCUGUACUGACGCUCAUGCACGAAAGCGUGGGGAGCAAACAGGAUUAGAUACCCUGGUAGUCCACGCCCUAAACGAUGUCAACUGGUUGUUGGGUCUUAACUGACUCAGUAACGAAGCUAACGCGUGAAGUUGACCGCCUGGGGAGUGCGGCCGCAAGGUUGAAACGUCAAAGGAAUUGACGGCUGAGAGNGCGACGACGACGACGAGGGAGGAGG
RNAcentral lists this ribosomal RNA (618 nucleotides) under uncultured bacterium. RNAcentral's name for it is "bacterial SSU rRNA". It matches the Rfam family "Bacterial small subunit ribosomal RNA", at positions 338 to 951 of the family's 1533-position model. The record is from RNAcentral.